UACAUAGGUGGCAAGCGUUAUCCGGAAUUAUUGGGCGUAAAGAGCGCGCAGGUGGUUGAUUAAGUCUGAUGUGAAAGCCCACGGCUUAACCGUGGAGGGUCAUUGGAAACUGGUAGACUUGAGUGCAGAAGAGGGAAGUGGAAUUCCAUGUGUAGCGGUGAAAUGCGUAGAGAUAUGGAGGAACACCAGUGGCGAAGGCGGCUUCCUGGUCUGUAACUGACACUGAGGCGCGAAAGCGUGGGGAGCAAACAGGAUUAGA
Molecule: ribosomal RNA, 259 nt
Filed under: uncultured prokaryote
Description: partial 16S ribosomal RNA
Rfam family: Bacterial small subunit ribosomal RNA
Source: RNAcentral